CAGUAGCCGCGGGAAUACAGAGGGUGCGAGCGUUAAUCGGAUUUACUGGGCGUAAAGCGUGCGUAGGCGGCUUUUUAAGUCGGAUGUGAAAUCCCUGAGCUUAACUUAGGAAUUGCAUUCGAUACUGGGAAGCUAGAGUAUGGGAGAGGAUGGUAGAAUUCCAGGUGUAGCGGUGAAAUGCGUAGAGAUCUAGAGGAAUACCGAUGGCGAAGGCAGCCAUCUGGCCUAAUACUGACGCUGAGGUACGAAAGCAUGGGGAGCAAACAGGAUUAGAUACCCCGGUAGUCCCUGUCUCUUAUAC
This 301-nucleotide ribosomal RNA is filed under the name uncultured bacterium. RNAcentral's name for it is "partial 16S ribosomal RNA". It matches the Rfam family "Bacterial small subunit ribosomal RNA", at positions 509 to 807 of the family's 1533-position model. The record is from RNAcentral.